AAAUGUUUGAAAGUUGGAAGAAAAAAAUUAAUAUGCCGAGUCACAAUGGAAAUAGAUGAAAGGCAUAUGUUUCAUGUUGAUGAUCACAACAUUUCUGGAUGAAAGUUACAACUCUUUUUACAAGCUUUCGAAUAGAUUUCUAUGUUUUGUAUUACUUUUAGUCCGAACGAGUAUAAUAUUUUUGAAAAUUCAAAUGUUUUUUGUCGUUAUGCACUUUCAGGUAGUGUGAGAAAAUAUUUUACCCCAGGAAUACGUGUGCAUUCAGCAUACAAUAUUUGUGUCUAUUCCUGCAUGAAAAUUGAUGCACAGAUUCAUUUGCAUAGCAAGUGUAUGUCUUUUGAAUAAAGGAAAUCAAUCACAAAUACCGGAAUAGUCAUCUGUGCGAGUCAUCUGUAUUAUCGAAACUUACAUUGAAGCUGACAAGAAGGGCCAAUAUACAAUCUGAACAAAUCAAUGACUCAAACAAUUUCAAAUGUGAUAUAAAUAAAACUAAGUGUGAAGAUAAACUAGUUUGUUUUGUGGAAAAAACUACUUCAGUUUUCUUUAAAAAAAAAAUUCACUUGUUCAAUACUUGUACACAAUUUCUUUUUUCCAAGACUAUUUCUCUAUGAGACCUCAUUGCAUUUAUUGAUCAGUUCAAUAAAAUUACAGAACCUACUCAGACAUGUUUAUUUUCAUCCCCAUCUUCAACCUGUAAUAAAAGUUGUCAUUUUCCCCAAGAGUACUUGAAAAAAGCUGUUGAAUGCCCCACACUGACUAAAUUUAUUUUUUAUGAACAAGUAGAUAAUGGGUGUAAGCUGGCGUAUAUUGAAAUAUAUAGACUCUGGUCAAUUUCGCAGAUUUUUGCUAUUACGAUGAAUGAUGUGUCUACCACAGCACAUUUGAACGCACAUUUAAACUUCAGAGACAAUGUGAAAUUGGCCAGGGGGUGCAUGGCACUCAAAAUGAUUAUAAGAAUGACCAAGUGAUCUAAUUUUGAAGGUCAUUGCAACCAAUUGCAGCUUUUGUACAAAUUUUAAUAAUAAAAAAUUGCCUCAAUUAACAUAGUGGUGUUCAGCCUACGCUAUUUUUCCACUCAUCCAUGAUGCAAGUAGUAGGGGUCAGGUAGA
Molecule: long non-coding RNA, 1109 nt
Organism: Leptinotarsa decemlineata (Colorado potato beetle)
Lineage: Eukaryota; Metazoa; Arthropoda; Insecta; Coleoptera; Chrysomelidae
Source: RefSeq, a predicted model, not a curated record